This 414-nucleotide non-coding RNA is filed under the name Pongo abelii (Sumatran orangutan). Lineage: Eukaryota; Metazoa; Chordata; Mammalia; Primates; Hominidae. The record is from RNAcentral.
AGAAUAUAAGUUAGCCUCAUAGUGACUAUGUGGAAGUCCUAACCUCGCUUGCAGACCUGACCUCUGGAUGUGACAAGGUAGCUUCACUACAGAUCUACUAUUUAAUCCUGGAAACUAAAAACCAAAAAAAAAAAAAAAAAAAAAAAUCUAAAAGCAAGAAAGAUGCAGACUAUUUCCUAAGAAGAACCCAAUGUAUUCUGGAGGGCAAAGAAAAACAGGGUGAGGUUCUGUGUUCACUGAUACAUCCCCUUCCUUCACCGGGCUCAUGAAAAGAAAUGCUGAAUCAGCGAAUAGAGUGAAGGAACAAUCAAGAUGAGAUGGCUGCUGCUGAUGUGAUUCUCUAGGUCACUACCUUUCUUCCUGCUGCAAAUGCUGCAUGACACUAAGCUUACAGGAUCUAGAAGCAGACUACAA